RNAcentral lists this signal recognition particle RNA (269 nucleotides) under Pongo abelii (Sumatran orangutan). RNAcentral describes it as "Metazoan signal recognition particle RNA (ENSPPYG00000033976.1)". It matches the Rfam family "Metazoan signal recognition particle RNA". From Rfam's summary of the family: The signal recognition particle (SRP) is a universally conserved ribonucleoprotein. The record is from Rfam by way of RNAcentral. Lineage: Eukaryota; Metazoa; Chordata; Mammalia; Primates; Hominidae.
GCUGGGCGUGGUGGUGGGCACCUGUAAUCCCAACUACUCUGGAGGCUGAGGCAGGAGAAUAGCUUGAACCCGGGAGGUGGAGGUUGCAGUGAGCCGAAAUCGUGUCAUUGCACUCCAGCCUGGGCGACAAGAGCAAGACUCCAUCUUUUUUUUUUUUUUCUUUUUUUUGAGACGGAGUCUCGCUCUGUCGCCCAGGCUGGAGUGCAGUGGCGCAAUCUCGGCUCACUGCAAGUUCUGCCUCCCGGGUUCAAGGGAUUCUCCUGCCUCAG